UGUGUAGGCGGUUUUUUAAGUUUGGUGUGAAAUCUCCCGGCUCAACUGGGAGGGUGCGCCGAAUACUGAAAGACUAGAGUGCGGGAGAGGAAAGUGGAAUUCCUGGUGUAGCGGUGAAAUGCGUAGAUGUCAGGAGGAACACCGGUGGUGUAGACGGCUUUCUGGACCGUAACUGACGCUGAGACACGAAAGCGUGGGUAGCAAACAGGAUUAGAUACCCUGGUAGUCCACGCCCUAAACGAUGCAUAUUUGGUGUGGGCAGUUCAUUCUGUCCGUGCCGGAGCUAACGCGUUAAAUAUGCCGCCUGGGGAGUACAGUCGCAAGGCUGAA
Molecule: ribosomal RNA, 330 nt
Filed under: uncultured bacterium
Lineage: Bacteria
Description: bacterial SSU rRNA
Rfam family: Bacterial small subunit ribosomal RNA
Source: RNAcentral